Molecule: ribosomal RNA, 1245 nt
Filed under: Bacteroides fragilis str. Korea 419
Lineage: Bacteria; Pseudomonadati; Bacteroidota; Bacteroidia; Bacteroidales; Bacteroidaceae
Description: bacterial SSU rRNA
Rfam family: Bacterial small subunit ribosomal RNA
Source: RNAcentral
AGAGUUUGAUCCUGGCUCAGGAUGAACGCUAGCUACAGGCUUAACACAUGCAAGUCGAGGGGCAUCAGGAAGAAAGCUUGCUUUCUUUGCUGGCGACCGGCGCACGGGUGAGUAACACGUAUCCAACCUGCCCUUUACUCGGGGAUAGCCUUUCGAAAGAAAGAUUAAUACCCGAUGGCAUAAUGAUUCCGCAUGGUUUCAUUAUUAAAGGAUUCCGGUAAAGGAUGGGGAUGCGUUCCAUUAGGUUGUUGGUGAGGUAACGGCUCACCAAGCCUUCGAUGGAUAGGGGUUCUGAGAGGAAGGUCCCCCACAUUGGAACUGAGACACGGUCCAAACUCCUACGGGAGGCAGCAGUGAGGAAUAUUGGUCAAUGGGCGCUAGCCUGAACCAGCCAAGUAGCGUGAAGGAUGAAGGCUCUAUGGGUCGUAAACUUCUUUUAUAUAAGAAUAAAGUGCAGUAUGUAUACUGUUUUGUAUGUAUUAUAUGAAUAAGGAUCGGCUAACUCCGUGCCAGCAGCCGCGGUAAUACGGAGGAUCCGAGCGUUAUCCGGAUUUAUUGGGUUUAAAGGGAGCGUAGGUGGACUGGUAAGUCAGUUGUGAAAGUUUGCGGCUCAACCGUAAAAUUGCAGUUGAUACUGUCAGUCUUGAGUACAGUAGAGGUGGGCGGAAUUCGUGGUGUAGCGGUGAAAUGCUUAGAUAUCACGAAGAACUCCGAUUGCGAAGGCAGCUCACUGGACUGCAACUGACACUGAUGCUCGAAAGUGUGGGUAUCAAACAGGAUUAGAUACCCUGGUAGUCCACACAGUAAACGAUGAAUACUCGCUGUUUGCGAUAUACAGUAAGCGGCCAAGCGAAAGCAUUAAGUAUUCCACCUGGGGAGUACGCCGGCAACGGUGAAACUCAAAGGAAUUGACGGGGGCCCGCACAAGCGGAGGAACAUGUGGUUUAAUUCGAUGAUACGCGAGGAACCUUACCCGGGCUUAAAUUGCAGUGGAAUGAUGUGGAAACAUGUCAGUGAGCAAUCACCGCUGUGAAGGUGCUGCAUGGUUGUCGUCAGCUCGUGCCGUGAGGUGUCGGCUUAAGUGCCAUAACGAGCGCAACCCUUAUCUUUAGUUACUAACAGGUCAUGCUGAGGACUCUAGAGAGACUGCCGUCGUAAGAUGUGAGGAAGGUGGGGAUGACGUCAAAUCAGCACGGCCCUUACGUCCGGGGCUACACACGUGUUACAAUGGGGGGUACAGAAGGC